GACGAACGCUGGCGGCGUGCUUAACACAUGCAAGUCGAGCGGUAAGGCCCUUUCGGGGGUACGACGAGCGGCGAACGGGUGAGUAACACGUGGGUGACCUGCCCUCCAGCUCUGGGAUAAGCCUGGGAAACCGGGUCUAAUACCGGAUAUGACUCCAUGACGCAUGUUGUGGGGUGGAAAGCCUUGUGCGGCUGAGGAUGGGCCCGCGGCCUAUCAGCUUGUUGGUGGGGGAUGGCCUACCAAGGCGACGACGGGUAGCCGGCCUGAGAGGGCGACCGGCCACACUGGGACUGAGACACGGCCCAGACUCCUACGGGAGGGCAGCAGUGGGGAAUCUUGCGCAAUGGGCGAAAGCCUGACGCAGCGACGCCGCGUGAGGGAUGACGGCCU
RNAcentral lists this ribosomal RNA (390 nucleotides) under uncultured bacterium. Its description in RNAcentral is "bacterial SSU rRNA". It matches the Rfam family "Bacterial small subunit ribosomal RNA", at positions 28 to 417 of the family's 1533-position model. The record is from RNAcentral.